AGGGUAAACGCUGGCGGCGUGUUUUAGGCAUGCAAGUCGAGCGAGAAGCAUUCCGACUUGUCGGAGUGUGGACAGCGGCAAACGGCUGAGUAACACGUGAGUAACCUGCCCUUCGGUGGGGAAUAACCCGUUGAAAGACGGACUAAUACCGCAUAAGUUGCCCCGGUUCAUACUGGGGUAGGAAAGGUCUUCGGACCGCCGUUGGAGGGGCUCGCGGCCUAUCAGGUAGUUGGUUGAGGUAACGGCUCACCAAGCCUAUGACGGGUAACUGGUCUGAGAGGACGAUCAGUCAGAGGGGGACUGAGACACGGCCCCCACUCCUACGGGAGGCAGCAGCUUAGAAUCUUGGGCAAUGGGCGAAAGCCUGACCCAGCGACGUCGCGUGGGGGAUGAAGGCCUAUGGGUCGUAAACCCCUUUUGUGAGGGAAGAGAUAGGACGGUACCUCACGAAUAAGGCCCGGCUAACUACGUGCCAGCAGCCGCGGUGAUACGUAGGGGCCGAGCGUUACCCGGAUUUACUGGGCGUAAAGGGCAUGUAGGCGGCACAGCAAGCCUUUCGUGAAAUCUCCCGGCUUAACUGGGAGGCUGCGGGGGAAACUGUUGAGCUUGAGGACAGGAGAGGGGGGCGGAAUUCCCGGUGUAGCGGUGACAUGCGUAGAUAUCGGGAGGAACACCCGUGGCGAAGGCGGCCCUCUGGCCUGCUCCUGACGCUGAGGUGCGAAAGCUUGGGUAGCGAACCGAAUUAGAUACUCGGGUAGUCCAAGCCCUAAACGAUGUGUGCUGGGUAUGGGGAGUAUCGACCCUCUCCGUGCCGAAGCUAACGCGUUAAGCACACCGCCUGGGGUGUACGGUCGCAAGGCUAAAACUCAAAGGAAUUGACGGGUCCCCGCACAAGCGGUGGAGCGUGUGGUUUAAUUC
This 918-nucleotide ribosomal RNA is filed under the name uncultured bacterium. RNAcentral describes it as "bacterial SSU rRNA". It matches the Rfam family "Bacterial small subunit ribosomal RNA", at positions 26 to 952 of the family's 1533-position model. The record is from RNAcentral.